Small nucleolar RNA from Rhinolophus ferrumequinum (greater horseshoe bat), 144 nucleotides. The record is from Ensembl. Lineage: Eukaryota; Metazoa; Chordata; Mammalia; Chiroptera; Rhinolophidae.
CCUCCUCUUCUUGGCGGGGAUCGGGUGUGCGGUCUCAUCCCCGUAAUGUAUGGAGGCAGAGGGAAAGGGCUCCGCCCCUCUGGGCGUCAUGACUUCGGUGCCAACGGCUAUCCGCCAGUUCUAUCCUCAAGCGCCAGGAUACGA